GAUGAACGCUGGCGGCGUGCCUAAUACAUGCAAGUCGAGCGAAUGGAUUAAGAGCUUGCUCUUAUGAAGUUAGCGGCGGACGGGUGAGUAACACGUGAGUAACCUGCCCAUAAGACUGGGAUAACUCCGGGAAACCGGGGCUAAUACCGGAUAACAUUUUGAACCGCAUGGUUCGAAAUUGAAAGGCGGCUUCGGCUGUCACUUAUGGAUGGACCCGCGUCGCAUUAGCUAGUUGGUGAGGUAACGGGUGACCAAGGCAACGAGGCGUAGCCGACCUGAGAGGGUGAUCGGCCACAGUGGAACUGAAACACGGCCCAGACUCCUACGGGAGGCAGCAGUAGGGAAUCUUCAGCAAUGGACGAAAGUCUGACGGAGCAACGCCGCGUGAGUGAUGAAGGCUUUCGGGUCGUAAAACUCUGUUGUUAGGGAAGAACAAGUGCUAGUUGAAUAAGCUGGCACCUUGACGGUACCUAACCAGAAAGCCACGGCUAACUACGUGCCAGCCGCCGCCGUAA
RNAcentral lists this ribosomal RNA (515 nucleotides) under uncultured bacterium. RNAcentral describes it as "partial 16S ribosomal RNA". It matches the Rfam family "Bacterial small subunit ribosomal RNA", at positions 28 to 523 of the family's 1533-position model. The record is from RNAcentral.